GGUAACAGGAUGUGCUUGCACAUCGCUGACGAGUGGCGGACGGGUGAGUAAUGCUUGGGAACUUGCCUUUGCGAGGGGGAUAACAGUUGGAAACGACUGCUAAUACCGCAUAAUGUCUACGGACCAAACGGGGCUUCGGCUCCGGCGCAAAGAGAGGCCCAAGUGAGAUUAGCUAGUUGGUAAGGUAACGGCUUACCAAGGCGACGAUCUCUAGCUGUUCUGAGAGGAAGAUCAGCCACACUGGGACUGAGACACGGCCCAGACUCCUACGGGAGGCAGCAGUGGGGAAUAUUGCACAAUGGGGGAAACCCUGAUGCAGCCAUGCCGCGUGUGUGAAGAAGGCCUUCGGGUUGUAAAGCACUUUCAGUUGUGAGGAAAAGUUAGUAGUUAAUACCUGCUAGCCGUGACGUUAACAACAGAAGAAGCACCGGCUAACUCCGUGCCAGCAGCCGCGGUAAUACGGAGGGUGCGAGCGUUAAUCGGAAUUACUGGGCGUAAAGCGCACGCAGGCGGUUUGUUAAGCUAGAUGUGAAAGCCCCGGGCUCAACCUGGGAUGGUCAUUUAGAACUGGCAGACUAGAGUCUUGGAGAGGGGAGUGGAAUUCCAGGUGUAGCGGUGAAAUGCGUAGAUAUCUGGAGGAACAUCAGUGGCGAAGGCGACUCCCUGGCCAAAGACUGACGCUCAUGUGCGAAAGUGUGGGUAGCGAACAGGAAUAGAUACCCUGGUAGUCCACACCGUAAACGCUGUCUACUAGCUGUGUGUGCCUUUAAGGCUGUGCGU
Molecule: ribosomal RNA, 780 nt
Filed under: uncultured bacterium
Lineage: Bacteria
Description: bacterial SSU rRNA
Rfam family: Bacterial small subunit ribosomal RNA
Source: RNAcentral